UAGGGAAUCUUCGGCAAUGGACGGAAGUCUGACCGAGCAACGCCGCGUGAGUGAAGAAGGUUUUCGGAUCGUAAAGCUCUGUUGUUAGAGAAGAACGUUGGUAGGAGUGGAAAAUCUACCAAGUGACGGUAACUAACCAGAAAGGGACGGCUAACUACGUGCCAGCAGCCGCGGUAAUACGUAGGUCCCGAGCGUUGUCCGGAUUUAUUGGGCGUAAAGCGAGCGCAGGGGGUUCUUUAAGUCUGAAGUUAAAGGCAGUGGCUUAACCAUUGUACGCUUUGGAAACUGGAGGACUUGAGGGCAGAAGGGGAGAGUGGAAUUCCAUGUGUAGAGGGGAAAUGCGUAGAUAUAUGGAGGAACACCGGUGGCGAAAGCGGCUCUCUGGUCUGUAACUGACGCUGAGGCUCGAAAGCGUGGGGAGCAAACAGG
This 429-nucleotide ribosomal RNA is filed under the name Bacillota bacterium. RNAcentral describes it as "Firmicutes bacterium partial 16S ribosomal RNA". It matches the Rfam family "Bacterial small subunit ribosomal RNA", at positions 355 to 776 of the family's 1533-position model. Lineage: Bacteria; Bacillati; Bacillota. The record is from RNAcentral.